UGGUGGCUAUGGCGAGGAGCCUGAACCCGAUCCCAUCCCGAACUCGGCCGUUAAACUCCUCAGCGCCAAUGGUACUUCGUCUCAAGACGCGGGAGAGUAGGUCGCUGCCA
Molecule: ribosomal RNA, 110 nt
Filed under: Xanthobacter flavus
Lineage: Bacteria; Pseudomonadati; Pseudomonadota; Alphaproteobacteria; Hyphomicrobiales; Xanthobacteraceae
Also listed under: 1 other name
Source: RNAcentral